This 74-nucleotide transfer RNA is filed under the name Olpidium bornovanus. Its description in RNAcentral is "tRNA-Val". It matches the Rfam family "tRNA". Rfam says of the family: Transfer RNA (tRNA) molecules are approximately 80 nucleotides in length. The record is from RNAcentral. Lineage: Eukaryota; Fungi; Olpidiomycota; Olpidiomycetes; Olpidiales; Olpidiaceae.
GUUUCCAUGGUGUAGUUGGUUAUCACGUAACCUUCACACGGUUAAGGUCUCCGGUUCGAACCCGGAUGGGAACA